RNAcentral lists this ribosomal RNA (733 nucleotides) under uncultured bacterium. Its description in RNAcentral is "SSU rRNA". It matches the Rfam family "Bacterial small subunit ribosomal RNA", at positions 84 to 853 of the family's 1533-position model. The record is from RNAcentral.
CUUCGGGGUUAGUGGCGGACGGGUGAGUAACACGUGGGAACGUGCCUUUAGGUUCGGAAUAGUUCCUGGAAACGGGUGGUAAUGCCGAAUGUGCCCUUCGGGGGAAAGAUUUAUCGCCUUUAGAGCGGCCCGCGUCUGAUUAGCUAGUUGGUGAGGUAAUGGCUCACCAAGGCGACGAUCAGUAGCUGGUCUGAGAGGAUGACCAGCCACAUUGGGACUGAGACACGGCCCAAACUCCUACGGGAGGCAGCAGUGGGGAAUCUUGCGCAAUGGGCGAAAGCCUGACGCAGCCAUGCCGCGUGGAUGAUGAAGGUCUUAGGAUUGUAAAAUCCUUUCACCGGUGAAGAUAAUGACUGUAGCCGGAGAAGAAGCCCCGGCUAACUUCGUGCCAGCAGCCGCGGUAAUACGAAGGGGGCUAGCGUUGCUCGGAAUUACUGGGCGUAAAGGGAGCGUAGGCGGACAUUUAAGUCAGGGGUGAAAUCCCGGAGCUCAACUUCGGAACUGCCUUUGAUACUGGGUGUCUUGAGUGUGAGAGAGGUAUGUGGAACUCCGAGUGUAGAGGUGAAAUUCGUAGAUAUUCGGAAGAACACCAGUGGCGAAGGCGACAUACUGGCUCAUUACUGACGCUGAGGCUCGAAAGCGUGGGGAGCAAACAGGAUUAGAUACCCUGGUAGUCCACGCCGUAAACGAUGAUUGCUAGUUGUCGGGGAGCUUGCUCUUCGGUGACGCAGCU